Molecule: ribosomal RNA, 254 nt
Filed under: uncultured bacterium
Lineage: Bacteria
Description: partial 16S ribosomal RNA
Rfam family: Bacterial small subunit ribosomal RNA
Source: RNAcentral
UACGUAGGGGGCGAGCGUUGUCCGGAUUUAUUGGGCGUAAAGAGCUCGUAGGUGGUUCGAUAAGUCGGGUGUGAAAACUCUGGGCUUAACCCAGAGACGCCACCCGAUACUGUCGUGACUUGAGUCUGGUAGGGGAGUGUGGAAUUCCCGGUGUAGCGGUGAAAUGCGCAGAUAUCGGGAGGAACACCAGUGGCGAAGGCGGCACUCUGGGCCAGUACUGACGCUCAUGCACGAAAGCGUGGGGAGCAAACAGG